GGGGUGACGUUUGAUUAGGAGUGAAAGGCUAAUCAAGCUCGGUUAUAGCUUGAACUCCGCGAAAGUUAUUUCAGUAACGCCACCAUUUAUAAAAAUGAGGUAAAGCACUGAUUUCG
RNAcentral lists this ribosomal RNA (116 nucleotides) under Planctomycetota bacterium. Its description in RNAcentral is "Planctomycetes bacterium (marine metagenome) partial 23S ribosomal RNA". It matches the Rfam family "Bacterial large subunit ribosomal RNA", at positions 801 to 918 of the family's 2925-position model. The record is from RNAcentral. Lineage: Bacteria; Pseudomonadati; Planctomycetota.